Molecule: ribosomal RNA, 491 nt
Filed under: uncultured bacterium
Lineage: Bacteria
Description: bacterial SSU rRNA
Rfam family: Bacterial small subunit ribosomal RNA
Source: RNAcentral
AGAGUUUGAUUAUGGCUCAGGAUGAACGCUGGCGGCGUGCCUAAUACAUGCAAGUCGAACGGAGAUUUAGCAAUAAGAUCUUAGUGGCGAACGGGUGAGUAACGCGUUGGUGACCUGCCUCAAAGUGUGGGAUAACAGUUCGAAAGGAUUGCUAAUACCGCAUGUGAUCUCCGGGAUUAGAUGCCCGGUUAUUAAAGCCGAAAGGCGCUUUGAGAGGGACCUGCGUCCCAUCAGCUAGUUGGUAAGGUAACGGCCUACCAAGGCGAUGACGGGUAGGGACCUGAGAGGGUGGACCCCCACAAUGGAACUGAAACACGGUCCAUACACCUACGGGUGGCAGCAGUAGGGAAUAUUGCAUAAUGGGCGAAAGCCUGAUGCAGCAACGCCCGCGUGUGCGAUGAAGGCCUUCGGGUCGUAAAGCACUUUUAGAGAGGAUGAGGAAGGACAGUACUCUCUGAAUAAGCCUCGGCUAACUACGUGCCAGCAGCAGC